This 269-nucleotide unclassified non-coding RNA is filed under the name rhizosphere metagenome. Its description in RNAcentral is "partial ribosomal RNA internal transcribed spacer region". The record is from RNAcentral.
GUAGGUGAACCUGCGGAAGGAUCAUUAACGUAUCUCCGACGGGUUUGCGUCCCGCUCCGGCCCACAAAGCCGUUGCAGCGGUCCCGCAUCCCGCUCGACCUUCACAAACCCCACUGUGCACCUUCACGGCGGAGGGUGGGACUGGGCCCUCUGCGGCCCGUUCCGCCCGAAGUCGCAUUUUUACCAAACCCCAUUUCAAAAGAAUGACCAGCAGCCUCUGUGUUGCCUAACAAAUGUAACAACUUUCAACAACGGAUCUCUUGGCUCUC